GUCGGGUUACCAGCGCGGGGGCUACAGUUAGCCUCGAGAACCUUUGCUUUCAGCCGGACUCCGGACUCCUCCGGGGACAGCGCAGCGCCCGCCAGAGCCCUCGGCGCUCCCUCCCGCUGGCGGCUUCCGCAGCCUUCAAGCCUUCUCUGUCUUUCCCAAGGAGCGCGAGGUGCUGAUUCCCCCCCAUGAAGUCUUUUUGGUUACCAGAUUCUCUCAGGAUGGAGCCCAGAGCUUGGUGACUCUCUGGAGCUAUAAUCAGACCUGUAGCCAUUUUAACUGCGCCUAUCUGGGUGGGGAGAAGAGGCGGGGCUGUGUGUCUGCGCCAGGAGCCCUGGGAACGGGUGACCUUCAUAUGACGAAGAGGCACCUCCAGCAGCCUUGAGAAGCAAGAACAUGGUUCCGGACCCAGCCCUAGCAGCCUUCUCCCCAACCAGGAUGUUGGCCUGGGGAGGCCACAGCAGGGCUGAGGGAACUCUGCUAUGUGAUGGGGACUUCCUGGGACAAGCAAGGAAAGUACUGAGGCAGCCACUUGAUUGAACGGUGUUGCAAUGUGGAGACAUGGAGUUUUAUUGAGGUAGCUACGUGAUUAAAUGGUAUUGCAGUGUGGAGACAUG
Molecule: long non-coding RNA, 614 nt
Filed under: Homo sapiens (human)
Lineage: Eukaryota; Metazoa; Chordata; Mammalia; Primates; Hominidae
Description: HSALNT0171330
Source: RNAcentral